AAUUAAAUCAUACGUAAAAAGAUUUAGUAUUGUCACUAUAUAAAGAGAGUCUUUGUUGGGUGCGAAAAGAUAUAUAUACAAUACCGAUGGCUUUCUAAGUAAUUUAUUCGAUAGGUAGAAUAAAUCGUUGGUCUGCGUUAAAGAUGUCAAGUGCUAGUUUAUUGACUAGAACUAAGGUGGUACCGCGGAAUUAAAAUUUCGUCCUUAGA
RNAcentral lists this non-coding RNA (209 nucleotides) under Acholeplasma oculi. Its description in RNAcentral is "T-box sequence". It matches the Rfam family "T-box leader". Rfam says of the family: Uncharged tRNA acts as the effector for transcription antitermination of genes in the T-box leader family. T-boxes are found upstream of many aminoacyl-tRNA synthetase genes and some amino acid biosynthetic genes usually in Gram-positive bacteria. The record is from RNAcentral. Lineage: Bacteria; Bacillati; Mycoplasmatota; Mollicutes; Acholeplasmatales; Acholeplasmataceae.